AUCAGCGUAGUUGUCAACAACAACGUAGUAUGAACUGAGUGUGUGCAUUGUGUAUAGUGUGAGUACAACCAUUUUGCAAGAGUAGUGGAAGUUUGUUAUUCUCUCUCUUCUCUCUUUUCUUCCAUCUUCAUCUUUUUCACCUUGUGCACCAAAAAGAAGUAGCAGGGGUAUCAAUUUGGCUAAAAGAAAAAAUAAUUUGGCUAAUUGCUAUCCUGAAAAUUAAAAAAAAACAACCAUCUUU
Molecule: long non-coding RNA, 241 nt
Filed under: Lathyrus oleraceus (garden pea)
Lineage: Eukaryota; Viridiplantae; Streptophyta; Magnoliopsida; Fabales; Fabaceae
Description: Pisum sativum (pea) long non-coding RNA (PSAT_LNC017632)
Source: RNAcentral